UACGUAGGGUGCGAGCGUUAAUCGGAAUUACUGGGCGUAAAGCGUGCGCGGGCGGUUCGUUGUGUCCGAUGUGAAAGCCCCGAGCUCAACUUGGGAAUGGCAUUGGAAACUGGCGGGCUGGAGUGUGGCAGAGGGGGGUGGAAUUCCACGUGUAGCAGUGAAAUGCGUAGAGAUGUGGAGGAACACCGAUGGCGAAGGCAGCCCCCUGGGCCAACACUGACGCUCAGGCACGAAAGCGUGGGGAGCAAACAGG
RNAcentral lists this ribosomal RNA (253 nucleotides) under uncultured bacterium. Its description in RNAcentral is "partial 16S ribosomal RNA". It matches the Rfam family "Bacterial small subunit ribosomal RNA", at positions 524 to 776 of the family's 1533-position model. The record is from RNAcentral.